GAUGAAGAACGCAGCAAAAUGCGAUAAGUAAUGUGAAUUGCAGAAUUCAGUGAAUCAUCGAAUCUUUGAACGCACAUUGCGCCCGCUGGUAUUCCGGCGGGCAUGCCUGUUCGAGCGUCAUUUCAACCCUCAAGCCCCCGGGUUUGGUGUUGGGGAUCGGCUCUGCCCUUCUGGGCGGUGCCGCCCCCGAAAUACAUUGGCGGUCUCGCUGCAGCCUCCAUUGCGUAGUAGCUAACACCUCGCAACUGGAACGCCGCGCGGCCAUGCCGUAAAACCCCAACUUCUGAAUGUUGACCUCGGAUCAGGUAGGAAUACCCGCUGAACUUAAGCAUAUCAAUAAGCGGAGGA
Molecule: unclassified non-coding RNA, 348 nt
Filed under: soil metagenome
Description: partial contains 5.8S ribosomal RNA, internal transcribed spacer 2, and large subunit ribosomal RNA
Rfam family: 5.8S ribosomal RNA (bases 1-120)
Source: RNAcentral